AGGGGGGGAGGGAAGGGUGUCGCGCGGCGGGAGGGCGGACCCAACCCCCUGAUGUGGCGGCGGUUGCUCCGUACAGUCGCUGUGAAGUGCGGUGACGUCGUCGUGUUAACAGCUCAGUAACAACAGCAUCAACCCGCUCAAAAACACCACCGUGUUGUUGUUGUUCACCCCCUCCUUUCCCUUCACAAACACAAUCACCACCACCUUUCGAGGAGGAGGAGGAGGAGGAGGAAAGAGGGAGGGGACGACGACGACACUCGCUCAGCCUCCCGAACUCCUCGCCCUCCCCCUUCUCUAGGCAGGCCCCCACACUGCGCCUGCCCAAGUCGCCCUCCCACCGGCAGCCCUUUUCUCCUCAGCAGAGACAUCUCAUUCGACGCGGCGCCGCCGCCGCCGACCUCACGGGCUGUGCUGUUGCCGCUGUUGGCAGCGGCGGCUGUGGUGGUGGUGGCGGCGGCGGUGGUUGGGGCGAAAAUGUGGAGCCCGGAAUCCAGGGAUUGGAUGGGGAUUUCGCUCCCUCAAAACUGCGUGGAAGCAGCGAGGAAGAGCGCAUGUUGUUCCGUUGGGGUUGCCUCUUGAACGUGUUGCCUAACCUCGUGAAUUCUGCGCCUUUCCAGAAUUUGCAUGUGUGAAUAACUGGACGCGUGGUGCAGUGCAGUGAAGUAUUUGGCAGGCGCUAGACACGAAUAAAGGUACAAGCAGGCAGGAUGGUCUUAUCUCGUACAUUUAAAACAACAGACUUGGAAAAGUUACUCUUCUGUUUAUGCCAGGCAUCAUUUACCAUCUGUGCACAAAAUUUACAAGACAGUUUAUUAUAAAUUUACUGUGUUGUAUUA
Rhineura floridana is the source of this 836-nucleotide long non-coding RNA. RefSeq lists it as uncharacterized. The record is from RefSeq and is a predicted model, not a curated record. The transcript is spliced from 2 exons. Lineage: Eukaryota; Metazoa; Chordata; Lepidosauria; Squamata; Rhineuridae.